AGCAGCCGCGGUAAUUCCAGCUCCAAUUAGUUGAAUUUCGGGAUCAGUACGCUAGUCGUCCUUCGGUACGUACUGGUGUUGCUGAUUCCUACCUUCUGACGAACCGUUGUGUCAUUAAUUGGUGUGGCAGGAAAUCAGGACUGUUACUUUGAAAAAUUAGAGUGUUUAAAGCAGGCUGCGCUUGAAUACAUUAGCAUGGAAUAAUGAA
This 208-nucleotide ribosomal RNA is filed under the name uncultured Glomeromycotina. Its description in RNAcentral is "partial small subunit ribosomal RNA". It matches the Rfam family "Eukaryotic small subunit ribosomal RNA", at positions 569 to 821 of the family's 1831-position model. Lineage: Eukaryota; Fungi; Glomeromycota. The record is from RNAcentral.